RNAcentral lists this ribosomal RNA (497 nucleotides) under uncultured bacterium. Its description in RNAcentral is "bacterial SSU rRNA". It matches the Rfam family "Bacterial small subunit ribosomal RNA", at positions 25 to 518 of the family's 1533-position model. The record is from RNAcentral.
CAGGACGAACGCUGGCGGCGUGCCUAACACAUGCAAGUCGAACGAAGCACUUUCUGUUGAGAUUCGUCAAGAACAGGAUUUGACUUAGUGGCGGACGGGUGAGUAAUGCGUGAGCAACCUGCCCUUCAGAGGGGGACAACAGUUGGAAACGACUGCUAAUACCGCAUGAUGUAUCCGGGAGGCAUCUCUUGGAUACCAAAGAUUAUAUCGCUGAAGGAUGGGCUCACGUCUGAUUAGCUAGUUGGUGGGGUAACGGCCUACCAAGGCUGCGAUCAGUAGCCGGACUGAGAGGUUGAACGGCCACAUUGGGACUGAGAUACGGCCCAGACUCCUACGGGAGGCAGCAGUGGGGAAUAUUGGGCAAUGGGCGCAAGCCCUGACCCAGCAACGCCGCGUGAAGGAAGAAGGCCUUCGGGUUGUAAACUUCUUUUAUGAGGGACGAAGGACGUGACGGUACCUCAUGAAUAAGCCACGGCUAACUACGUGCCAGCCGCCGC